AUGGAGUUGCGGAUGGUCGCGACAUUACGUCGAGGAAAGUCCGGACACCACAGGGCAUGAUGGUGGGUAACGCCCACUCGGAGUAAUCCGCAGGCUAGUGCCACAGAAAGUAGACCGCCCCGUAAGGGGUAAGGGUGAAAGGGUGGAGUAAGAGACCACCAGCGGGUGUGGUGACACGCCCGGCUCGGUAAACCCCAUC
This 199-nucleotide RNase P RNA is filed under the name Yaniella sp. RNAcentral describes it as "partial RNase P RNA component class A". It matches the Rfam family "Bacterial RNase P class A", at positions 1 to 217 of the family's 367-position model. From Rfam's summary of the family: Ribonuclease P (RNase P) is a ubiquitous endoribonuclease, found in archaea, bacteria and eukarya as well as chloroplasts and mitochondria. Its best characterised activity is the generation of mature 5'-ends of tRNAs by cleaving the 5'-leader elements of precursor-tRNAs. The record is from RNAcentral. Lineage: Bacteria; Bacillati; Actinomycetota; Actinomycetes; Micrococcales; Micrococcaceae.